UGGAUAGAUUAUUGUAUUCGACUGUAUACACGGUGUGAAAUAGGGGAUUACACUGUUUUAAAACGGAAAGUGAAUCAAUUAACAUAAUAGACUCUU
RNAcentral lists this microRNA precursor (96 nucleotides) under Nicotiana sylvestris (wood tobacco). Its description in RNAcentral is "MIR6152 microRNA precursor family". It matches the Rfam family "MIR6152 microRNA precursor family". The record is from Rfam by way of RNAcentral. Lineage: Eukaryota; Viridiplantae; Streptophyta; Magnoliopsida; Solanales; Solanaceae. RNAcentral also lists the same sequence under 1 other name.